AGCUUGCUCCCAUUUCUCAGCGGCGGACGGGUGAGUAACACGUGGGCAACCUGCCCUGCAUGACUGGGAUAACUCCGGGAAACCGGAGCUAAUACCGGGUAAUACAUAGCAUCGCAUGAUGCAACGUUGAAAGUUGGCCUUUGGCUAACACUGUAGGAUGGGCCCGCGGCGCAUUAGCUAGUUGGUAAGGUAACGGCUUACCAAGGCCACGAUGCGUAGCCGACCUGAGAGGGUGAUCGGCCACACUGGGACUGAGACACGGCCCAGACUCCUACGGGAGGCAGCAGUAGGGAAUCUUCCGCAAUGGACGAAAGUCUGACGGAGCAACGCCGCGUGAGUGACGAAGGCCUUCGGGUCGUAAAGCUCUGUUGUUAGGGAAGAACAAGUACCGUUCGAAUAGGGCGGUACCUUGACGGUACCUAACCAGAAAGCCACGGCUAACUACGUGCCAGCAGCCGCGGUAAUACGUAGGUGGCAAGCGUUGUCCGGAAUUAUUGGGCGUAAAGCGCGCGCAGGCGGUCUCUUAAGUCUGAUGUGAAAGCCCACGGCUCAACCGUGGAGGGCCAUUGGAAACUGGGGGACUUGAGUGCAGAAGAGGAGAGUGGAAUUCCACGUGUAGCGGUGAAAUGCGUAGAUAUGUGGAGGAACACCAGUGGCGAAGGCGGCUCUCUGGUCUGUAACUGACGCUGAAGCGCGAAAGCGUGGGGAGCGAACAGGAUUAGAUACCCUGGUAGUCCACGCCGUAACGAUGAGUGCUAGGUGUUGGGGGGUUCCACCCUCAGUGCUGAAGUUAACACAUUAAGCACUCCGCCUGGGGAGUACGACCGCAGGUUGAACUCAAGGAAUGACGGGGCCGCACAAGCAGUGGAGCAUGUGG
RNAcentral lists this ribosomal RNA (877 nucleotides) under Bacillus sp. (in: firmicutes). Its description in RNAcentral is "bacterial SSU rRNA". It matches the Rfam family "Bacterial small subunit ribosomal RNA", at positions 77 to 944 of the family's 1533-position model. The record is from RNAcentral. Lineage: Bacteria; Bacillati; Bacillota; Bacilli; Caryophanales; Bacillaceae.